GACGAACGCUGGCGGCGUGCUUAACACAUGCAAGUCGAACGGAAAGACCCUGCUUUUGUGGGGUGCUCGAGUGGCGAACGGGUGAGUAACACGUGAGUAACCUGCCCUUGACUUUGGGAUAACUUCAGGAAACUGGGGCUAAUACCGGAUAGGAGCUCCUGCUGCAUGGUGGGGGUUGGAAAGUUUCGGCGGUUGGGGAUGGACUCGCGGCUUAUCAGCUUGUUGGUGGGGUAGUGGCUUACCAAGGCUUUGACGGGUAGCCGGCCUGAGAGGGUGGCCGGCCACAUUGGGACUGAGAUACGGCCCAGACUCCUACGUGAGGCAGCAGUGGGGAAUAUUGCACAAUGGGCGGAAGCCUGAUGCAGCAACGCCGCGUGCGUGAUGACGGCCUUCGGGUUGUAAACCGCUUUCGCCUGUGACGAAGCGUGAGUGACGGUAAUGGGUAAAGAAGCACCGGCUAACUACGUG
Molecule: ribosomal RNA, 468 nt
Filed under: uncultured bacterium
Lineage: Bacteria
Description: partial 16S ribosomal RNA
Rfam family: Bacterial small subunit ribosomal RNA
Source: RNAcentral